This 20975-nucleotide long non-coding RNA is filed under the name Vitis vinifera (wine grape). Its description in RNAcentral is "long non-coding RNA (VVIN_LNC006858)". The stretch from base 12496 to 12590 matches the Rfam family "MIR535 microRNA precursor family". Lineage: Eukaryota; Viridiplantae; Streptophyta; Magnoliopsida; Vitales; Vitaceae. The record is from RNAcentral.
AAUGAAGCUGAGUAGGGCUGUACAAGGAGUAAGGGACAGUUCUUGAACACGAAGGGUUCUAUAUUCCUUUCUUCGCAUACACUGUGCACAAUACUUCUUGGUUUUAAGGUGCAGAGUUAGACUUUUAACAGCCAUGAAAGACUCCAAAUAAGCCACAUUUAUUCUUAGGUAUUGAAUAAGAUGCUACUCAGGUUCAAAGAGAGUGUCAAGGUCUGUUCUGCUAAGGUGAGAGUCCAGGUUUAACAAUGUUUUCCCAGAAAUAUUUUCUUUCCAAUCCUUCCUGCAAUUUGUCCAACUGAUUCUGUUGCUUCCUUAUUCUUUGGAUAGUUUGUACAACCUGUAUGACUCCUAAUGUCAUGGUGUGGACCUGCAUUUUUCAUGUGCGUCCCCACUCAAUGGCAAAACUCAUUUUUUAUUGGUGAAAAAUUAGUUUUGGAAAAAUUGGAGUCGCCACUUAUUUUAUUUUAUUUUAAAAGAAAAAAUAAAAUAAGACAGAAAACCCUAAAGAAGUGACUCUAUAGUUUUGGAAAAACAAGUCUUGAAAAACCCGAGUUUUGGUCCGGGAAUCAGGUUACCUACUGGGAAGGUACCUCUAAGAGGUAGCACCCCUCUAAGCCCUAAAGAGAUCUCUAUUGACUAAGUCGAGGGAAAAAUGGCAAUUAAUCAAUAUAUUGAAGGUACCUAGGUAGACUAAGGUGAUUUCAAAACUAGCAUGCCAAAAAGAAAUCAAAUCACAAUCACAAAAGAAGGUUAGGAUAUGUAUUUGGACUGCUUCUCAAUCGUUAUCAUAAGAUAUUAAAGUUAGCACAAAAAUAUAGCACACGAGAUAUAUUUAAUCAGAGCAAACCGAAUAGACAUCUAGGCACCUAAGGAUGGAAUCAAACAUAGAUAUGGUUCACAACAACAUGCAUGUUAAUAAAAUUCCAAAAAGUAAGUGAUAAAGAGCAUACCUAGAUAGCAUGCAUAAUUUAUAAGAUUCCUCCAAUGAGUGGUUAGGACAAGUAUAAAUUACAUAAUAUCUUUAUUAUGUCAAAUAUACAAUACGAAAGCCAAAAUUGAGUCAAGGUAAGUCAAAUGACUCCAAAAAUAAAUAAUCGAUUCAAGCAAAGUACAAGAUCAUCAACAUGCAAUUAGAAAAGGGAGCAUCACAAAACAAUGUCUAAAAAAAUAUCUUGGAGUUGAAUUUAAUUACGAAAAAUUUCAGGAAACAACUUCUACACAUCUAGAACAAGAUACCAAAGGCCAAACACUCAUUCACAUGACAAAUUGUAGCAAAGACACCCAAAAGUUCCAGAAGGUCCAGAUUAGGUAAAAAAAAUAGUGACAUGUAUAAACGAAUUUUUAAAAAAAUAAGGGAUCACAUAAAAUUGUACAAAAAAUCACACAUAUUGUUCAAAGUGUCUAUAUCACAUAAAAAAUGAAUCCAGGGUCGGGUAGUACUCAAAAAUAUUUUUAAAACACUCCAGUUAAUCAGAUGUCUAAAAUCCAUCAUGUAUAGUAGGUACGACUUUGAAAAAUCAUAUCUCACUCGAAAAAGCACAUUUUUUUUUAAUAUUUUAUGUGUCUAAGAUCAAUUUCAAGAAGUCUAGAAUUAAGAAAAAAUAUUGAAUUAAAUUUGAAAAGUCAUCUGUUAUUUUAUUUUUAGAAAAAUAUUUCAAGUGUCUAGAAUUGGGUGAAAACAUAGCCCUCCUAAAGACUCGUUUAUAUCUUCUAUUCCAGAAUUGCUUUCUAACUCAAACGAAAUUUUAAAUUCAAGCUUAAGAAGUGAGGAAAAUCAUAAAAGUUUUGGAAUUUUUUUUUUUUUUAUAAAUAAGCACACAAUAGAUUAAGAAACUGAAAAAAGCCACAAGGCAUACAGGGAGUAUACACAAUAGCCUAAACCAAAAGACACAAAAAACAAGCAACCUCACCAGCCCUUAAGUGGACGCUAGCCUCUCCAAAAAGCCUAAGAGUGAAGAGGACUCCUCCCCAAUAUACACUCUAGUCCAACUCCAAAGAUUAUAAAUAAAAGAAUUUUUUUAGCUUCUGAAUAGCUAAAGACCCCCCCCCAAAAGCUAAUAUAUUCCUCACAUUCCAAACCGUCCAAAAAAAUACACAACGGAAUGGAAUUCCAAAUCUUUUUCCUUUUUUCCCCCCACAAAAGGGUCAUUCCAACUAAAUAACACCUCUUUAACUAUCUCUGGGAACACCCACAGAACCCCAAACAAGGUAAGAAUGAUGUCCCAGAGGACCCUGACCACUAUACAGUGUAAAAGAAUAUGAUUUACAAUUUCUUCUUCAUAACCAAACAAAAAACAGCGAUUGGGGAGCUGCCACCCCCAUUUUUGAAGCCUAUCCAGGGUGAGAAUCUUCCCUCAAGUGACCUCCCAAGCAAAAAAAAACAGCUUUGGUUGGAACCUUAUCCACCCAAAUGUUUUUCUUCGGGAAAGCAAAGUUGUUGGGAGCAACCAGUAGAAAAUAAGCAUCCUUAACCCCANAAAAUACNNNNNNNNNNNNNNNNNNNNNNNNNNNNNNNNNNNNNNNNNNNNNNNNNNNNNNNNNNNNNNNNNNNNNNNNNNNNNNNNNNNNNNNNNNNNNNNNNNNNAAAACCCUCAGAGGCUGUUUGGCUACUGAGAAAAUAGAAACGGGAGAGCUUUGUAAAAAUUCUAAGUCUAUAUAUCAAUAUAUCAAUAUCUCAAUAUUUCCAUAAUAUUUGUUACAACGGAUGCAAGGGGAUAUAAAUAGAGAAGUUUUUCCAACCUUCCUAGCUAAGAAAUCUUAUGAUUGGUGGAUUACAAGGAGAAGAAUGGAAAUUUAUACAAAAAUAUCCAAAAGAAAAGAUCUCGUGUGGAGUCGGCAGAAACAGGGGAAAAUUCGCACCAUGCAAGGGGGUGUGCGAAUUUGGAAGGUGUUGUGCGAAAAUUUCGCACACCCCUGGAGCAGUUGUCUUCCAAAGGCCAUAUCUUCCUCAUUUCAGCUCCAAAUUGUACACGGUCAAACUUUGCAUUAAUGAACCAUUAAUGAAAAACGACUACCUUACCUUUCGGGUGCGAGAAAUUUCCAUGGGAUUGCAUCCAAGCCAUCACAUAACAUCCAUACUUUGAGAAACUAAAAGUUUUAGCCAAUCAUCCUUUGAGGAAAAACCCUCAGAGGCUGUUUGGCUACUGAGAAAAUAGAAACGGGAGAGCUCUGUAAAAAUUCUAAGUCUAUAUAUCAAUAUAUCAAUAUCUCAAUAUUUCCAUAAUAUUUGUUACAACGGAUGCAAGGGGAUAUAAAUAGAGAAGUUUUUCCAACCUUCCUAGCUAAGAAAUCUUAUGAUUGGUGGAUUACAAGGAGAAGAAUGGAAAUUUAUACANNNNNNNNNNNNNNNNNNNNNNNNNNNNNNNNNNNNNNNNNNNNNNNNNNNNNNNNNNNNNNNNNNNNNNNNNNNNNNNNNNNNNNNNNNNNNNNNNNNNACCAAAGUGAAUAACUAGGGGAGAUUUGGGACAGCGCUGCAUUGGCACACAAUGAUCAGUCUAGAACUUGAUUUUGGUCCCUUUACCCACUUUAAACUAGAUGUUAUCCCAACACCAGUUUGCCUCAUUCAGAAUCUCCUUCCAAACCCCCACUCCAAAUGUCCCACGAACCUCAUUAGUCCUCCACCCAAGACCCUCUUGGCCAUACUUCACCAACAACACAUUCUUUUAUAGAUUAUCAUUUUCAAAGGCAAAUCUCUAGAUCCAUUUUCCCAGCAAGGCCUUGUUAAGAAGGAUAAUCUUCCUUAAGCCUAGACCACCCUUCUCCUUUUGAGCACACACCUCCUCCCAAUUGAUUAAGUGGACAUUCCUUUCCAAGCUUCCCCCUUCCCAAAGGAAGUCUCUUUGUAAUUUUUCAAGCCUUUUUGUAACAAUCUUGGGCAUUCGAAAAAGGGACAAUUGGUAAAUCGGCAUACUAGCCAGCGUGCUCUUAAUAAGGGUGAUUCUCCCACCUUUGGAAAUAUAUUGUCUUUUCCACAGAGCUAAUCUUCUCCUCAUUCUCUCUUCCACCCCAUCCCACAUAGAAGGAGCCUUGUGAUAGGCUCCUAAGGGCAACCCCAAGUAAACAGUGGGCAAAGACCCCACCCUGCACCCUAGCUCCACUGUCAUUUCAUCAAUCUCUUCCACCUCUUCAAUUGGAAUUAAUUCAGUUUUGGCCAGAUUGAUCCUUAAACCGGAUGUAGCCUCAAACCAAGCCAAUAUCCAACUUAAAAAGGUUAGAUUCUCUUUCCUUGCUUCACAUAAAAUGAUUGUAUCAUCAGUAAAGAGUAAAUGGGAUAUAUUUAACUUCAUCCUACCUCUCCCCCGAAAACUGCAGCCUGAGAUGAACCCCUCAUCAGCAGCCUUUCUUAAGAGUGCACUUAGCACUUCCAUUCCCAAAACAAAAAGGUAAAGAGAAAGAAUGUCUGAUUUGACUCAUGGUAGCUUAGCUUUAAAGGCGUAUCAACAAAAUUUAUACCUUGAAUACUAUUACUAAAGUAGCCAAGCUACUAUAGCAUAGUGGUUCUAGGAUCGUUCACUGGGAAGGGUUUUCGCAAACACAAGUGAUAUUCAAAUUAGGAAAAUAGGUGAUUUUCUUAUGGAUGUUAGCUUUAAAAGAAGAUGUAAAUGUUUUAGAAAGAUUUAAACUAAUCUAAGCUAACAUUAAAGACUAAAAUGAAAGGGUGUAAAAACAAGUUUCUCAAAGAUAGGAUAGCUAUGCUCUGACUCUUAUGCAAAUUGGAAAUCUCAGGAUAGGCUCCUCGCGUUGGGGUUGCAACUAUGGUGAUGCUUGCUUCCCGAACCGGUAUGGAUUUAGCAAAUCAAGUUUUAAUCCUUUAAAAUGACAAAACAGAUGGUAGUAUAUUUCAUCAAUGGUUAUUCACCUUAGACUCCCUUUGAAUGGCUCGUAAGAGAUAACUAAUGGUCUAAAUCCAAAAGCUUACCAAAUAUUGGCAACUCAAAGUCAUUCCAGGUGAUAAACUCACCUUUCAAUGGCCAUUGAAAUUGGUUCUAACGGAUUAAUGCAAAACUUGGAAUUGAAAACCUCACCUUCCAAUAGCUCGUAGGAGAUAACUAAUGGAUAGAAAUCCAAAAGCUUAUCAAGUAUUGGCCGUUGGAAGUUGUCAAAAGGAAAUAAAAACCAAACUUUGCAUUAAUGAACCAUUAAUGAAAAACGACUACCUUACCUUUCGGGUGCGAGAAAUUUCCAUGGGAUUGCAUCCAAGCCAUCACAUAACAUCCAUACUUUGAGAAACUAAAAGUUUUAGCCAAUCAUCCUUUGAGGAAAAACCCUCAGAGGCUGUUUGGCUACUGAGAAAAUAGAAACGGGAGAGCUCUGUAAAAAUUCUAAGUCUAUAUAUCAAUAUAUCAAUAUCUCAAUAUUUCCAUAAUAUUUGUUACAACGGAUGCAAGGGGAUAUAAAUAGAGAAGUUUUUCCAACCUUCCUAGCUAAGAAAUCUUAUGAUUGGUGGAUUACAAGGAGAAGAAUGGAAAUUUAUACAAAAAUAUCCAAAAGAAAAGAUCUCGUGUGGAGUCGGCAGAAACAGGGGAAAAUUCGCACCAUGCAAGGGGGUGUGCGAAUUUGGAAGGUGUUGUGCGAAAAUUUCGAACACCCCUGGAGCAGUUGUCUUCCGAAGGCCAUAUCUUCCUCACAAGCUGAUAUAAACAUGUAAACUUGCCACAAAAUGGUUAAAACCAAUUACUAAGGACCUUAAUGAAUUCAUUGGGUUAAAUGAAUAUGAUUACUACUCAAAGGUGCUUAAAACCAUUAUAAUUAGGUCUACAAAAUAGCACUUUUUGGUAGUAAUCAAGGUCUCCUUGACGCAGCCCCUUGGUACUCGAGAAGAAACCUGUAGGCACCCCAUUGACCAGAACAGAGAAUUUGGCAGUUGAGAUACACCACCAAAUCCACUCCAUCCACCAAGACCCAAAGCCCAUCUUAUGCAAAACCUUCAUAAGAAAAUUCCAAUUUAUGUUGUCAUAAGCUUUUUCAAUGUCCAAUUUACAAAUCAGCCAUUUCUCUUUUCGUUUUUGCCAAAAGUCAAUCCCCUCAUUAGCUAUAAGCGAAGCGUCCAAAAUCUGUCUACCCUUCAUAAAAGCAUUUUGAUCCUUGGAAACCACCUUUCCUAAAACCUUCUUCAGCCUAUUAGUCAACACCUUAGCCAAAAGCUUGUACAGACCCCCUAAGAGGCUAAUGGGCUGACUGAAACGAAAUUUAAAAUGAAAGGGUCAGUGAUUGAGUGGAAACUAACAACAAGAAAGAGUUUUGAAAAAAUGAUUUUAUGUAGGGGUUUCACCAAUUCCCUAAUUGAUAUACACAAAUCAAGCCUAGAAUUAUCCCAUUUAUUUGGUACCACAAGCUUGGAUUCGUAUUCCACUCAAAACCAGAAUUCUUAUUGAAAACAAAGAAAAAUACGAAUCGAUCAAGACAUGGUUGUAUAUUAUUUAAGAAAAUGAGAUUUUGAUUCUAAGUACUCUAAAUGAAUUUUUAAAAUAUAUUUUCAAAGGGAUCUUUUGAGAAAAGUAUUUUAUUUUAAAAUAAAAGAAAUUAAUUUGAAAACAACAAAACAUAAGAAACAAAAAUACCAAGCAAAACAAAAGAAAACAAAAUCACAAAGUAAAUUUUUUGACAAUCAAGCAAACUAAAGUGGUAAGAAUGGAGCCAAAAUUCUCCAUUAUUUCUCCUCUAAACCAAGCAUUACACAACUGCUAUUUCUCAACUAACUCACCACUAAUUCUCACCAUAAAAAAGUAUCCACAAAAGUUCAAUUACAAGGCCAUUGAAUUCCACCGAAAAACUCACAAAUUCAAAUAGGAUCAAUCAAGAACUAAUAUUAAUGACUUUGAAGCAUAAAAUAAAUUAUAUGGGAUAGAUCAAAAUAACGACUAAAUUAGAACCAAUAGACUAAGAUGAGAUUUAGUCAAACUCUUAAGUCUAAAACCAGUCAAACUAAAUACAAUUGGAACCUGGAAUAGAAACAAUGAUAAUCGACAUAAUCAAUCAAACUCCUAAAUUUAAGAUCAAUCCACCUAGAAAAAAAAAAGAAAAGAAAAAAAAAUGAAACUUGGAAUCAUGGAUAAUCAAUAAAAAAUAGUCAAAAUCCACAAUAAAAAUCAAAACUUGGAACCAAAGUCAAUUGAUCACGAAUUCUCAAAUUUAUAAUAUCAUCACACAAUCAACAGAAUAUUGAAACUUGGAAUCAUGGAAUCGAAAUAAAUCCAAAACUAAAAUAUGCAUGCAAUCAUCAACUUGAAAUAAAAAAAUAUUCAUAAACUAAACUUUCAAUCUACCUACUGGGNNNNNNNNNNNNNNNNNNNNNNNNNNNNNNNNNNNNNNNNNNNNNNCCUCAAAAAUCUUUUGUGUUGUGUUAGAAAGAUCUAGAAUGGCACGUGCUAUGUUGCCCUUCAAAACUGAUAAUGCAUGGAUGUUGGAGAAGCCUCAAUGAUGCGUGUUAUGUUGUAGCAGCCCAGAAAUCUGUUAUGCGUGUUUCUCAUAAAUCCUCUCUUGGUGCAUCAAAGUGGCAACUGAAUCUGCUGUCCGAAGUCCCCUGCUGCUCUCCAAAAUCUAUGCAUGCUCUUGGGAGUCCUCCUUUCCUUGUUCUUAUAUUCUUAUUUAUAUGGUAGCCCACUCCUUCUAUGGCUGCGUGAGGAUCCCCAAAAUUGCCCCUAGUACAACCAGUCUGUAGAGAUCUUCUUCUUAUGGGAAGUGGGGAUCUUCUAUGGCAGCCUCUCCCUCAUUGAAUAUUCUGCUUCCUUUUUGAAUGCAUGGGGAUAUGGGUUGUGCAUAUAUGCGUGGCUUACUUGGAGAUUUCCUCAAGGAUGCAACCUGUGUCUUGUUUGGUAAGUGAUCAAAUCCUAAUGCGAAAAUAAAAAAAUAAUAAGGGGGUGUAGAAAUCAUGCAAUAGUAAUUAAAAAAAUAAAAUUAAGAAUAAAAUUGGAAAUUGCACAAUCAUAUGCAUAUGUAGGAGAAUCAAAAUAUUAAUUCAUGCAAAAUAAAAAUAAAAAUAAAAAUAAAGGAAUCAACUUCAUGUAAAUUUAAAUAAACAAAUAAAUAAAUAAACAAAAAUGUGAAUAUGAGUAUCAAACGCAUGCAAUCAAAAGAAAUGAAAUGCCAAUCUAAUGCAAUCAAUAAUAAUGAAAACCGAAACAUCAAACUCACAUAAUUAAGUAUCAAAAGACCAUCCCAUGCAAUCAAAAGUAAAAAACAGGCCAAUACUCAUCGAAACCUAAAGAACCAAGCAAUCAAGAAAUCAAACCUAAACAAGUGUCCAAGUGACCUUUUCUGAAAAUGCCUAAGUGACCUAGGGUGAAUGUGUGCAAGUAGGAGAGUGUCUAUGAUGUUUAGGACAAUGCCUAAGUCUAAAUUAUGGCUGCCAAGGGUCACAAUGGGGUUAGAUAAAUCUCUUGAUCAGAGUCUCCAAGGUGGCUCAUAAAAGAUAAACUACAUUAGUAAAAAUGGGCCACCAGGGAAUUAUUGUAAAGUACCAAACGAACACAUAAUAGGACAUGUGCUAGAAAGACAACAUGGAGGUUCUACAAAUAUGCCCCUCUUCGGUAGAGAUCAUGAGUGUAGAGAAUGUGAGUUGAAAUACAAAUAAUGAGUGGAACGAAGUGAACUGUACCGAAGAACUAAAAGGAAAAGACCAAAAGUUUUGUCCUAGCACAUGAAGUUGCAAGUCAAAAGAUGGGAUUGCAAUGACAUGGAUGGGAUGACUCUAUGUAGAGGGAUGACAAUGAAGGAAGAAAAGUGUGAUAAAUAGCACAAAGAUGGAAAGGGAUGAAAAGAAUGACUCAAGGUCAUGGAUGGGGAAAAUGACUCUAGGUGAUGGAACUCUAGGCUUUAUAUGCUAUGAAUGACUCUGGAUUGAAAGCUCAAGGCUUUAAAUGCUACGGAUGACUCUAGGUCAGGAGCUCAAGGCUCUAGAUGGUAUGCAUGACUCUGGGUCGUGGAUGAGUAGAACGUCUCUGGGUCGUGAGUUCAGGGCUUUAAAAGCUAUAGAUGACUCCGGGUCGGAAGCUUAGGGAUUUAAAUGAUAUGGAUGACUCUGGGUCAAAAGCUUAGGAUUUUUAAUGCUAUAGAUGACUUUGGGUUGGAUCUCAAGGCUCUAGAUGGCAUGGAUGACUCUAGGUUAGAAGCUUAGGGUUUCAAAUGCUAUAGAUGACUUUGGGUCGGGAGCUCAAGGCUCUAAAUGAUAUGGAUGGCUCUGGGUUGGAAGCUUAGGGUUUUAAAUGCUAUAGAUGAAUCUUGGUUAGGAGCUCAAAGCUUUAGAUGAUAUGGAUGACUCUGUGUCAUGAGCUCAGGGCUCUAAAUGAUAUGGAUGACCAUGGGUCGUAAGCUUAGGGCUCUAAAUGCUAAGGAUGACUCUAGGUCACGGAUGAGAAUGAACAACUUUGGGUUGUGAGCUUACGACUCUAAAUGCUAAGAAUAACUCUGGGUCAUGAAUGAGAAGAACGACUCUGGGUCAGAGCUUAGGGCUCUAAAUGUUAAGAAUGACUCUAGGUCACAAAUAAGAAUAACGACUCAAGGUCACGAAUGAAAAGAACGACUUUGGGUCGUGAGCUUAGGGCUCUAAAUGCUAAGAAUGACUUUGGAUCACGAAUGAAAAGAACGACUUUGGGUCAUGAGCUUAGGGAUCUAAAUGCUAAGAAUGACUCCGGGCCAUAAAUAAGAAUAACAACUCAGGGUCGUGACCUCAGGGCUCUAAAUGGAUAGUCGAUCAUAAUGUUUUCCGGCUUAUGGUGCUAGGUCAAGGCCACUCGCAAGUGGUUAGAAUGGUGAAAACGAAACAUCUCAGGGAUGUGAAGGAUACGAACAACUCCAGGUUGUGAGCUCAAGGCUUGGGAUGCCAUGAAUGACACUAGGUCAUGGAUGAAAUGAGUAACUUCGGGUCACGAUGAAUAGCUCAGGGCCAUGGAUGGCAUGAACGACUCUAGGUCAUGAUGCAAUGAGUAACUCAGGGUUAUGAUGAAUAGCUUAGGGCUAUGAGCUCUAGGCUCUAUGACUGAUCGGUUAGAAGGAGAUUGCGAUACGCAAUCUCUAGGUCAAGCUACUCAUGGGCAACCAAAUGACGAAGGCUCAACUCAGGGCUGGAAAGACUCUGGGUCCUUAGGGAAUGAUAACUUAGGGCUACUAGGCUCAGGGCCUAGAAAGAACGGAUAACUCAAGGCUAUAAGACUCGGGGUCUGGAAGGAAUGGAUAGCUCAAGGCUAUGAGGCUCAGGGCCUAAAAGGAACAGAUAGCUUAAGGCUAUAAGACACGGGGUCUAGAAGGAAUGGAUAGCUCAAGGCUAUGAGGCUUAGGGCCUAAGAGGAGAAGAGCAACUCAGGGCUACAAGACUCAGGGCUUAAAAGGAACAGAUAGCUCAAGGCUAUUAGACUCAAGGUUUAAAAGGAACAGAUAGCUCAAGGCUAUAAGACUCAGGGUCUAGAAGGAAUGGAUAGCUCAGGGCUACGAGGCUCAAGGCCUACAAGGCUCAAGGCCUACAAGGCUCAAGGCCUAAGAGGAGAAGGAUAGAUCAGGGCUAUGAGACUUAGGGCCUAAAAGGAAUAGAUAGCUCAAGGAUAUAUGACUCAAGGUCUAGAAGGAAUGGAUAGCUCAGGGCUAUGAGGCUCAAGGCCUAAGAGGAGAGGGAUAGCUCAGGGCUACAAGACUCAGGGUCUAAAAGGAACAGAUAAAGAAGACCAACUCGAAAGCAAAUAGGAAGUAAAUAGGCUCAAAGUCGUAUACUCAAAAUGCCAAGGGUCGGACUACUAAGCUUAAGAAGGGAAAUAUACCCCAGUAUCUAAGGUGCUCGCACUGCUAAAACUAACCAGUAAAUCAAUCAUUCGCUGAGAUUAAUGGGUUAGAAAUCGAUACAUCAUGACCAACCUCUUAAAAAUCUAAACUGAAAGAACUCUCCGUGUCUCAAAAGCUGCUUUCUCGACAAAUCUCAAAAGGUAAAUCUUAGAGUGUGUACUUCGUGACUCAUCUAAAAGCAAAUCUCAAAGUGCACAAAAUACUGCUCAUCUGGAUAAUCCAAUCCGCAAGAUAACAAUGGCGAAAACAAUCUAUUUCAUUUCAAAAUCUAUACUCCUAAAUUCUCUCAAUUCUAACCAACAUAAUCAUCAACUCCUGAAUUUUGCAUUCCAGCAAUUCAUAAUACCCUAAGACUAAAUAUACAUGUGUGCUUGCCAAAUUAUAUUGGAAGAAGAAUAAAGGUAGUGAAUCCUUUGAGUAAGUUCAACCAUCUACAGUCUUCCAUCAUUAUUUAGUAUGUUGUGAGUUGUGUUAAAUCCUUCACUCCUUUUAUGACAAGGGACAAACUUUAACUCACUUUUUCUACUUUCCUCUUUUACAAAAUGAAAAAGUUUUCCAAUAAUUUUUUUCCAAACUACUUGCAAUAUUUUAGCUCCACAUGCUCACUUCAGGAAUAGCUCAACAAAGUUGGAAUAAGCAAUCUCAACAUAAAAUACACACAUAAAUGUUCACCCUUAUUGACCAUCAAAUACGAUAUUCUGAUAGUCUUUUUGUAGGCUUAAGCUAAUGUUUUUAUUUCAAUUUCCAAAUCCACUUUUAACCUAUAUGAUUUUAUGCUCUACCUCCUAAGAUAUGGAUAUUUAUAAUGAUUAGAACUCUUUCUAUCAAUUUUUUUUAUAGGAUUCUCCAUUAAAUAUGAAACUCCUUGAUCCUUGGAAAGUGAAGAGUAAAGUUUCUUCAAUUAUAGUUGCAGUUUUUCCUGCAGUCAUACAUUGUUGUGUCACUAUGCUAAUUCUUUUGAUGUGCAAUCCACUCCACUUUCCUAGCAUCUCCAACAUAUGCAUAAACUAUAGUUCAAUUUUUAGCUGAAAGCCAUAAGCACCAGUUUUGGCAAGGAGAGAUGACCAUGUAGCAAUAUAAGGAUAUGCAAGUGAAUUCUCUUAAUGCAAAGUUCAAAGCAAUGUGCAAAUGACAUAUCAGUUUUGACACUUUUGCAAAGAACAAUUUAUGUAAUUUCCUGUCCAUGUGUUGGCCAUAUUGCGCCAUGGUUUUCAGAAGUCAUUAGGCCAAACACUCUAUUUAAGUGUCAACUAUCUAUGCUCAAGAUUCUCCUUAGAUUAGGAGAGUAAUUCUUUUGCGGUCAUGAUAUUUUUAAGAGAUGUUUAAUCUAUUAUGUAAACUAUAAUGUCAAUAAAUGCAGAGUAGUUUCAGACAUCCCCAAAGGAGCCAUGUAAUUAUUAAAAAAAAAAAAAGUAAGGGUGAUUGCACUCAACUUCCAGGAUUCAAAUUCUAGCACUGGUUUUUGGCAUAUCAGGAAGUUCUAUAACAGGAAUAUAGCGAAUGAUUGACACAAGAAUGCAGAAUUGAAGAGCCAAAUUACUGAAUCCAUUGAUGGAAAACUGCACCCUAAAUGUUCUUCAUUGUAUCAAAUACUACGUAUUUCCAUUUUGAAGAAGAACCCAUUUAUUUCAGCUACAGGAGAGCGGAAAGAAUCACCUGCUAGUGAGUAUGCCUUGAGGUCCAACACUCACGAACAAGGUGAAUAUGUAAGACAGCCUUGAUGAGAAGAUUGUAUGACAGCGAGAGAGAGCACGCCUGUACACAGUCAUGUUCCUCGCAUGAAUGCUGACUAGCGUGCUCUCUCUCGUUGUCAAGCAAUUACAUGUCACUGCUUGAACUAAUGAUCUGCGGAGCAAGGAAACACAAUAAGAAAAUAUACUAGCAAACAAUUAUUAAACUGAAAAUUUUCCCACAACCAUAGUUUUCUCACAAAGGUGAUGGACAAAGAGGGUAAAGAUGCUUUCUAAUCUCAAAAUGCAAUAAGCUGUCAAAAGCUUGCAAAUUUUCUUUCAGAAAAACAAACACCAUCCCAUUUCUCUUCCCCAACUAUCCACAGCAACCAAAGAGAGCAUAUGAAAGUCCUUGAAAAUUAGUAGGAACACCUUUACCCUCAAAGAGAUCAAGCCCCCUUAUUCAUCUUCGAAGCAGCAAGAGAACAUUCACUAACUCAAAGUCUUUCCUAGCCUCAAAUCUAAAAAAGAUAUCUGAAUCCACAACAAAAGAACAAAUAAUCAGCAACAGCACUUCUAAAAACCCAACAACAAAUGCCUCAGAAUAGAGCCAGAUAACAUGAAAUACAGCAAGCUAACACUCAACUUCAGAAGCCUAACUUUAGCUCUAUUGGAAAAUUGAACUUCGACUUUUCUACUAGGGCGCUAGUCACAAAAAAUGAAGGGGCAAAAGAAAAAACAAAAUACAAAUCUUAACUAGCACCCUAUUUCUCUGUAACUAAUAACAAGCAAGACAAAAGCCAGCACAGAAAAAUAAUCCAAUGAUUAAAUUUCAACACAUAAAAGGAAGUGGUAUCACAUGUAUGAUAACAGCAAAAUAAAAGGAAGUAGUAUCACAUGAAACUUCAAACCAAGCAAGAAUCGCUACCAAAGUAUUAAAACAAUCAUCUGAAACUGCCAGAAGCUUCAACAAUUUUCCACAAUUAUAUAAGUUAAAACAAAUACACAACCCAAAUGGCAGUAUGAAAGCAACAAGGACAUUCUCAAAUUGCAAGUUUUGGAGUCAAUCACAAUUAUCCACCAUAAUGCCUACAAAAACUCGUAUCCAUCCCCUUUGUUCCUGAGAAAAGAAAGUAAAAAACACUAAAAUAAAAUGCUAAAAUCACAUGCUUUAUCCGGGUUGAGCUUCCCAAAAAAGGAAAAGAGAAAAAAAUCAAACAUGAACUAAGCUAACUAGAUGUCGUCACCUCAACUAGGAAAAGAUUCAUUUCCUCUAGGGUCCCGGAGGAUGAAAAACCACCCAAUUUUUCAUUUCUUUUCUUUUCCUUUCCUCCAUUUUCUCCGCAACCAAACACGAUAAAGUAGAGUCAGGCAUGCACUUCAACAGAACAAAAAACAGCACACAAAUCCUGAAAAAACUCAUCAAAGCCACACCAAAACAAAUCAAAUGAACAAAACCAUGCACUCUGAUUCCCAGAUCUACCACCAACAAAACUUUAAACUCAAAACCCAAAACAACACAAAUAAAAAAAAUAAAAAAAAAAACACCCAAAACCCCCCAAAAAGAACAACCAGCAACAAGGACAACAUGAAUUAGAGAGAUUAUCACCUUCAUGAUCACAUAGUACUAACCAUACCUGUGAAGAAGAUUACAGGAGAUUUCAGAGAUACCGGAAAGACCUAGAGAGGAAAUGAAGAGUCAGCGGUAGACAAGACAUUAAAAAAAUUGAAAAAAAAAAUGGAAGGAUAAACGCUAUAAUGAGAGGCGAUGAGGUACCAUUUUCAUAUCCUCCUCUUUUUUCGACCUUUAAGUUGACCGCUCCCGCCUUGCCCGUCGUACAUGUGUCGUCAUCAAUGUCCACAAUUCAUCAACUUGGCCUUCUUGUUGUCUAUGUACCGCGAUGGGUUUAACAACCUAAUGGACCGGCGAGUUAGUCAACAAGAAAACAAAUAAGAGGAAAAAUAUAAUAUUAAUCGAAAAAAAAACCCUUCAAAAAGUGUGUAAACAUAGAUUUAUAUAUUUUCAUAAUAUAAAUCCUAAGUGACUCAAUAGAAAUUUGUACAAUGUAAUGAAUUUAGUACUUUUCUUAUUGAGUGAUAAAGCUUUACCACAAUGACAUAUGAAGAAUAUACUAUACACAAUGCAAAGGCUUUAACCAAAGAGAAAAAUAGGAGAGAAUUUUUCUUGUUUUUUUAUUUAUUUUUUCAUGUAUUAAUGAUAUAUGUUGGUAUUUGAAUAAGUGACUAAUUUUUUGUUAGAUAGAUAGAUGACCUGGUCUACUAGGCUAAAAGAAGAAGUUUUAAAAUAUGAAAAAAGAAUUUGUUAGCCAUAAGACUUUUUUUAAUCGAGUUUUGAUGAUCGCAAAAUAGGUUAAGGUUACUAAUGUUUCAAAUCAAGUUAAUUAUUUCAGGUUCACCCUUGAAAAUUCAAAGAAAACUCAAACAACCUUGAAAAAAGAUCAAUACCAUGAACAUAUGGGAUCCAUGAAGACUUAAAGUAACCUAAAAUUUAUUAUAAAAAUGGUAUUUAUUAAUGCACUUGAGUUUACAUCUUGUUCAUGCAAUUAAAAAUUUUAAAAUCAUCCAUCUUUGAACAUAAAAAGAUUAAAUUUCAUCAAAAUUUGGUUGGUUUCUUGUUUGUAAAUAAAACCUUAAGCCAAAUCCUUUCUAGACUUGUCUUAAAAAUUUUGAAGAUAUUGAACAUAAGUUGUUAGAAGUUUCAUCAGGGUUAUUGAACAUUUUAUAACGUAAGUAGUUAGGGUAGAAAGUAAUUGGUUGAGUUGAUUAGGCUUAAUCGAUCAAGGUACACUUUGCACACUCUACCUCAUCUAGUAACUUAUGCUCAACUAGCAGAGAGUCUAAACCUUAACGGUCACCUACCAAUGCAUGAAAUGCACAACAACUAAUAAAACGGUCGAACCAAUUGCUUUAUGAAUCAAACACUUUUGAGGGUUUAGGCUCCUGAAGAUCCAAAUCUAUAAAUUGAAGUGUUUCAGAGCAUUUAUGAGCAUGAGAACUACUCUAUUCAAUUAAAAAACCUCCAUUUCCUUUCAUUCAAAGCUCAAAGUGCAUUUAAUUCUUAAUUUACAAAUUCCCUCUGUGUGCCUUCAAGUCCUUCCUAAUUUUUUCUUGUAUUGUAAGUCAAAUUUGCCUUAAGGAUUAAAGUUCAAAAAUUCACCCUCAUCUAUGAGAGAAGUUAUUGGCUGAUUAGUUGAAGAGUAGCAAAGGUUUUUGGAACCUUGAAAUCCAACUACAAACAUUGAAGGUUUGUGGUAUAAGUCUUAAAGCCCUUACUUGGUUAAGAGUUUGAGAAUAGUGGAUAAAGGUGAUUUGUUGAACUACUAUAAAAGAGUUUGCAAUCUUCUUCUCCCAAAUUUCCUAUUAUUGAUCUUUAUUUAUUCAUUAUCAUCUCCAUAUAAGGUUACUAUAAUGCUUGCCCUGUAAUAUUGGUUAUUUUGAUUUCUUUUUCAUUUUUAAAAGUUAGGGGAAAAAAGAAAAUAAUGAGAGUUUGCUUUGGUGUAAUAUUUAUAUGGUUGGGAGUGAGUUAUUGGAUGAUAUUUAAGUCAUAAAAUAAAUCAAAAUAAAAAUAUAAAAGAGAAGUAAGGGAAAUGAGAGAAACACUCAAUGAUAUAACCUAUAAAUUUUUUGAAGAGAUAAAAAACUACUGACUAAUCAAAAUUGUAACAUCCACUAUCAAGAAAAUACUGAAUAUAAGGUUUUACCCAAUCUAAAACCUCUAAUCCUCUUUUGGGCAACUAUUUUGAUACCUUAAGAAUCUCAAUCACCCACUAUCUUCAUGUGGAACCCCUUUGAAAGCACUCUAAACACAAUCUUCACCUCUUCUUGAUAUUCACAUACGAAGAUAUUUAGGUUUUAUAUCAAUCGAUAAAAAACAAGAGAAGAGAUGGACAUGAAAAAUCAAUCAACAUAUUUUGUUGAAGAAUUUCUCAUUUAGACAUUUUUUUUUAACUCAAAACCUACAAUUUUCCUAAGAAAUAAACACUUCCCAAUAUAAAAAGUUUUGAAAUUUUAAGAGGCACUACUAACUCUCUUGGCUAUCAAUUUCUAAUAUGAACAUGAGUUUAAAAACUAAAGCUUCAAGUUUAAUCCAAUGGCUGACUACAAAUCUUUGUUGUAAUUAAAAUAUUAAAACCUAAUAUAUGUAAUAACUUUAAUAAAGAAACACUAGAAGUAGGAUUAUCACAUUUUGUAAUAUUUAUUUUUUCAUCAUUUGGGAUCAACACUAAUGUAUCUAUUUGUUUUAGGCUAAAAAUAUUAAUUGCUCGAUCAAACUGAAUAAAAAUCUAAUCUAAAAAAAAUGAUGAAUUUUUUUUAAAUGUUUAAUUAAAUAAAUAAAAUAAAAUAAAGUUUCACAAUCCCUUUUUGAAUCAAUUCGACAAGCAAAGCAUUAUGUAAUCUAGGUUUUAGAAUCAAAAUCUACUUGAGAUUGAAUUUGAAUCUUAAGACCAAUACACAUUUAGAACUAGGUUUUAAAAUAUGGAAAAUGGAUCUCUUACACCAAUUAAAUAUAUUGGUUCACUUAGUUUUAAGUUUAUCCAAUCAAAAUUAAGCUCAUAACCAUCUUGUAGAUUUUGCUAUAGAUUUGUUAAUAAAGGAUUAAAUCAAGUUGAUUUGCAAUCAAGGACUUUACAAGAAUCACCUAGUACCUCGGUAAGAAUCUUUUGUACCUUAUCUAAGAGAACUAACAAAGAGGAUUUUUUAUUCCUGCCGAUUCAAACAUAAAAACAUAAAUAAACCAAAACAAUAAAUUAUUAUUUUUUAAUACUCCUUUGAAUUCUUCACCUUCAUGUGAGAAUCUCCAUAUCACAUAAAAUUAACCAAAAAUGGUGGAGGACUUCUCUAUAAAACCCAUAUUUGGUUGCUAUGAAAAUAGAAUGGAAAGAAUGGAAAAGAAAAAAAAAAAAAUUUAUGAAAAAAAAAGUUGAAAAACACAAGUUCAGUAUCUCUCAUUACAUCUCUAUCCCUUGAAACCUAAGAAUGAAUGAGUUUAAAUAAUAAAGAUCUAACCUAAGGAUAUUUUGCACACCAAGGCUUGUUUGACUUUGAGGUGAGUUGGUGCUUGUAAGGCCUCAAAUUUGAAGUAGGAAAGCUUGGAGGAGCUUUGUUUGAAAUUUGGAAGCUUAGUUCAAUGUUAAAAAGGCCAAUUCCAAUUGGGGGAAGUCUAGUUCAAAAUCACAUGUCAAUUUCGAACUCAACUUUUCCCAUUUUCCACAUUUUUAGUCAUAUCUCCCUUAUUUAAACUUUAAUUCAUGAACCAUUUAAAGCAUUGAAUUUCUGACUUCUUAAUCUUCAAAACCAUAUGUGCCAUGACCUAAAAAAAUCCCUUGGAAAACAUCCCAUAAAUUAGUUCAAAUUCAGGUAUGUAUGCACAUUCUCUUAUUGAGUUUGAAUCUCCAUUUGUGCUUUUAACCACGACUUCAAGCCUUCUCCCUUAUUUUUGCUUGCUUUCUAAAAUCCCUCCAUAACCUUAAGUUUUCACCUAUCAUACUUAUUCCUUGGUCCUCAUGCCUUUUCUUAAGAUCUCCUCAUGCCCCACAAGUCUCAAAUCUCAUUUUGAAUAGUUGAUUGAUCCUCUUUCUCUAUCUUGGUUGAAGAUCACUUUUUCACUUUGCAUUCUUUUCAUCUCUUUACCUUGAAAUUAAAUUCAAAAUAUUUAUUAGAUCCAUAUCUAUGGUCUUAACACCAAUUCAAGUUAAAUUGAGUGAUUUAAACCUUUUUUUUAUUACAUACAUUCAAUUAUUUAUUUGUGAUUGGAGCACAUAUUUGGGCUCCAAUCAUCCUAGUUGAACUUUGCUAGUUCUUAGAAAAUUAAAAGAAAAUAUAACGUGUAUUGCAAUUCAUUUUAGCAUAGUAACUUAACAUAAUAUCCUUCACACAAUCUACUUAAGUAAUCAAUUUUCCUUGGAAUUGAGAACGAAAGCACAAGAUAAGUCAUUUCCUAGCUUUCUCAUCUUAUUCGCUUAUACAUAGAUAUGCAUCCAUGUUUAGCAUCUAUUUUAGUACCCCUUGGAUUUUGUUUGAAUAGUUUCUUCUCACCUUUUACAGUCAUAUUGUGUAUUUAUGUUGUGACAAACAAACUCUACAUUGAUUACGUAAUAGCUAGACAUUCAUAUGGCCAGUGAUGGAUAACAAUUUAGGGAACAUGAUUCUAUCUAAUGAAGAAGCUAUAAAAAUAAAGCGAUGCUCUCCAAAAAGCAGGUGAACACAUUUGCGCGUCUAUCUAUUGACCCUUUUAUUUCUCUAUAACUAACUUGAUUGUCAGAGAGCAGUAAACCUAACCAACCUAACUUGAUUAUCAAAAAGCACUUUUAAGACACUUUUUUUUUUUAAUUCAAUUAUUAACUAUUUUUUUGUAAAAACAUAUAUAAUGGAAAUGUUGCUAAAAGCAGGUUUGGGAGUGGUUCUAAUUAAAGCAUUUUUAAUAUUUACGGCUUUUGUUACUAAUGCUUCUAUUAGAAAUUCUUUUAAGGAAGAUCUCUUACUGUUUGGAUAUAAAUAAAAAAAGUGCUUUGAUAAUAUUUGUAGUAAUACUUCAUAUAACAAAAAAUAAGGUGUUUACUUAAGAAUUACUUCAAGUGAUUAUCAAAAUUUUUCCAAAUACCUAAUAUAUGUCGGAAAAUGCUUCUAAGCAUUAUGAAAUAUUUCUAAUCCUGUCAAAAAGAACAUCCACAAACCCAAAGUCUUUCUAGACUCAAAUUCACAAAUGAUAUAUGUAUCAACAACAAAAGAAUAAAAAUAAGUACUGAACAAAUGUAGACAAUCAGUAAAGCCCAAUGACACCCAGAUUUUUCCAGCAAGAAAUUCCAAAUAAUAAACAGAUUGCUCAUCAAUAAAGAGUUUAACCAAAUCAUCACUGUUUGCAAAAAAAAUUUCUAAGGAGCAACAGCACACUUCCAAAAUGAUACCACUCCAAAUGCAUGGACAGACAGCACAAUGGGCUUAACAAUGAAUUUCAGAAGCCUUGUUUUAGCUCUCUCUUUUGGAAAAUCGAACUUCAACUUUUCUACUAGAGGGAAAAAAAAUGAAGAAAAAGAACAUACAAACCUUAACUUUAAUAUGCAUGGUAAGACUGAACUAUGAGAUGAAUCUUUCCCAAAUAAGCAUAUGAUUGAACAGUUAAGCUUCAUAUCUUGGUUUAUCAAAGUAUAGACAGAAUUUGAAGGUAAAAAAUUUAAAUUGGAUAUAUAAUAUCAUUGAUUUCAAAAACAAGCAAGACAGAAGAUAGAUCUCUGAACCAUGAAACCUAAAAUCUAGCAAGAACCAUUACCAAAAGAUUAAAACAACCAUCUGAAACAUGCCAGAGGCUUCAAUAAAAUUAUCUACAUUUGUGGAUUUUAAACAAAUACACAACCCAAAUAUUGGUAUAAAAGCAACAAAGAUAUUAAACUGCAAGUUUAUCCAUCACUCUCAUUAAAAAUGUGGACCUAGGACAUUCACUCACUAAAAAAUGCCACUGGGAGCAAACCCAACAUCUUCCAAGUAUGAAAUCUGAAAACACGGCCUGAAUCAUCAGCAUGACAAAUUACAAAGCACAAUAACUAGCUCAAACUCCAUAAGAAAAUGUCAUUUACCAUAAUACCAAGAAAACUCUAACCCUCUGUCUGGUUGCUGAGAGCAUUAAGUAAAACACAUGAAAAUAAAAUGCUAAACGACAUGUUUUACUCCGUUUUAGUUUCACAAAAAGCAAACAAAACAUGAUGUAGUCACCUCACCUAUGAAAGGAUAUAUGAUUCAUUUCCUCCCAGGUUCCUAACCAUGAAAAACCACUCAUAAAUAAUCAGAUUCUUUUUUCCUUUUCCUUUCCUCCAUUUUUCUCUGCAACCAAAUACAACUAAGUAGACUCAGGCAUGCACUUCAACAGAACAAAGCACAACUAUGGAAAUCUGGGGAAUUCACAACUACACACUCUGACUCCCAGAUCUACCACGAACAAAAAUUCAAACUGAAAACAUAAAAAAGAAAAGAAAAACAAUGCCAAAGAUAAAAAGAAUUAAGAAUAUCAUCACCUUCAUGAUUGUUUUCAGUUUGUUCUUGUGUAUCUUUUGUUUGUUUUAUUGCUAAUUUAGUGGAUCUUUUGUGUUUGAGUCAUUUUCCAGUUUGUUAGUAGAGUUAAUAUUCAGCUAGAUUAUUGUUCUAGGCAGUAGUUAGGGUGUCUUGAGGGAAAAUCAAGGCCUCACCUUAGAUUUUUCUAACCUCAUUGAUAAGCAUAGUCCUAGUUAGCUUAUUAGCAACUUCUAUUACCUUAUAAAAUGAAGCUGAGUAGGGAUGUACAAGGAGUAAGGGACAGUUCUUGAACACCGAAGGGUUCUACAUUCCUUUCUCGCAUACACUCUGCACAAUACUUCUUGGUUUUAAGGUGCAGAGUUAGACUUUUAACAGACAUGAAAGACUCCAAAUAAGCCACAUUUAAUCUUAGGAAUUGAAUAAGAUGCUACUCAGGUUCAAAGAGAGUGUCAAGGUCUCUUCUGCUAAGGUGAUAGUCGAGGUUCAACAAUGUUUUCCCAAAAAUAUUUU